AACAGGAUUAGAUACCCUGGUAGUCCACGCCGUAAACGUUGGGAACUAGGUGUGGGCUGCAUCCCACGUGGUCCGUGCCGUAGCUAACGCAUUAAGUUCCCCGCCUGGGGAGUACGGCCGCAAGGCUAAAACUCAAAGGAAUUGACGGGGGCCCGCACAAGCGGCGGAGCAUGUGGCUUAAUUCGACGCAACGCGAAGAACCUUACCAAGGCUUGACAUACGCCGGAAGCGCUCAGAGAUGGGUGUGCCCUUUGGGUCGGUGUACAGGUGGUGCAUGGCUGUCGUCAGCUCGUGUCGUGAGAUGAUGGGUUAAGUCCCGCAACGAGCGCAACCCUUGUCCUGUGUUGCCAGCACGCUCUUUUGGGUGGUGGGGACUCACGGGAGACUGCCGGGGUCAACUCGGAGGAAGGUGGGGACGACGUCAAGUCAUCAUGCCCCUUAUGUCUUGGGCUGCACACGUGCUACAAUGGCCGGUACAAUGAGUGGCGAUACCGUGAGGUGGAGCGAAUCUCAAAAAGCCGGUCUCAGUUCGGAUUGGGGUCUGCAACUCGACCCCAUGAAGUCGGAGUCGCUAGUAAUCGCAGAUCAGCAUUGCUGCGGUGAAUACGUUCCCGGGCCUUGUACACACCGCCCGUCACGUCACGAAAGUCGGUAACACCCGAAGCCGGUGGCCCAACCCCUUUUUUUGGGGAGGGAGCUGUCGAAGGUGGGACUGGCGAUUGGGACGAAGUCGUAACAAGGUAACC
Molecule: ribosomal RNA, 746 nt
Filed under: uncultured bacterium
Lineage: Bacteria
Description: bacterial SSU rRNA
Rfam family: Bacterial small subunit ribosomal RNA
Source: RNAcentral